GUUUUGUUUACGCUGCAUUGCAGGUAGAUUGCAUCGGUGAUGAGGGAUACUGUCAGGGACCGUGUGGCGAGAAAGUUCAGGAUCAGCUGGAGUGCGUUGUCUUGGGCUUGUUCAUCCGGGUGCGUUGAGGAAAAUUAAGCUGAGUCGAGGAAGGUGGUGACCGUGCACGAGUUUGGGAGCUGACUGGAGUGCGCUUUUCCAUCGGAUAUAGAUAUCGUUAAUAUAUUUAUAAAUAGAUGUAGAUUUAAUUGGAUGUGUCCAUGUCCAGAUUAUUGUUUCUUCCUUGUAUGAUUAAGGCCAUUAAAAUGUCAAUUUUCUUCUCUAAGUUGUCGACUCUAUUAGCUAGGUUUGUUGUGUGGUCGUCCGAGAAGCCUUUUUGUAUGUAUGGAUUGGAGUUUCUUGGCGAUGGUGUGGCUACAUCAAUAACUCUUGGUUUGAAACUAGCUCUGGCAGCUCUGCUGGUGGUCGGAGGGCUGUCAUUGCUAGCUUGCAUGGGAUUUGAGUUA
This is a long non-coding RNA of Drosophila sechellia, 506 nucleotides long. RefSeq lists it as uncharacterized. The record is from RefSeq and is a predicted model, not a curated record. The transcript is spliced from 3 exons. NCBI's taxonomy places the organism in Eukaryota, Metazoa, Arthropoda, Insecta, Diptera, Drosophilidae.